GACGAACGCUGGCGGCGUGCUUAACACAUGCAAGUCGAACGGAAAGGCCCUGCUUUUGGGGGGUGCUCGAGUUGCGAACGGGUGAGUAACACGUGAGUAACCUGUCCCUGACUUUGGGAUAACUUCAGGAAACUGGGGCUCAUAGCGGCUAGGAGCUCCUGCUGCAUGGUGGGGGUUGGUAAGUUUCGGUGGUUGGGGAUGGAAUGGCGGCUUAUCAGCUUGUUGCUUGGGUAGUGGCUUACCAAGGCCAUGACCGGUAGCAGGCCUGAGAGGGUGACCGGCCACGUUAGGACUGAGAUACGGCCCAGACUACUACGGGAGGCAGCGGUGGAGAAUAUUACACAGUGGGCGGGAGGCUGACGCAGCAACGCCGCGUGCGGGAUGACGGCCAUCGGGUUGUGAACCGCUUUCGCCUGUGACGAAGCGUGAGUGACGGUAAUGGGUAAAGAAGCACCGGCUAACUACGUG
Molecule: ribosomal RNA, 468 nt
Filed under: uncultured bacterium
Lineage: Bacteria
Description: partial 16S ribosomal RNA
Rfam family: Bacterial small subunit ribosomal RNA
Source: RNAcentral